Molecule: ribosomal RNA, 301 nt
Filed under: uncultured bacterium
Lineage: Bacteria
Description: partial 16S ribosomal RNA
Rfam family: Bacterial small subunit ribosomal RNA
Source: RNAcentral
CAGUCGCCGCGGGAAUACGGAGGGUGCAAGCGUUAAUCGGAAUUACUGGGCGUAAAGCGUGCGCAGGCGGUUAUAUAAGACAGAUGUGAAAUCCCCGGGCUCAACCUGGGAACUGCAUUUGUGACUGUAUAGCUAGAGUACGGCAGAGGGGGAUGGAAUUCCGCGUGUAGCAGUGAAAUGCGUAGAUAUGCGGAGGAACACCGAUGGCGAAGGCAAUCCCCUGGGCCUGUACUGACGCUCAUGCACGAAAGCGUGGGGAGCAAACAGGAUUAGAUACCCCGGUAGUCCCUGUCUCUUAUAC